This 248-nucleotide long non-coding RNA is filed under the name Musa acuminata (dwarf banana). Its description in RNAcentral is "long non-coding RNA (MACU_LNC006566)". The record is from RNAcentral. Lineage: Eukaryota; Viridiplantae; Streptophyta; Magnoliopsida; Zingiberales; Musaceae.
AAGGGUUGUACUUCAUGCAUCGAGCUGGUUACUGGCAUUCGCCUGCUCUUUGCUCACACUUCUGAAGCACUCGAAGUGUUUGCACUCCUUGCAUUGAGUUAGCUACUAUGAUUCACCUUCUCAAUGCCAUCAAACUUCUGGAAUGCAGGAAGUUUUCACCCCAACUUGGAGUAAGUCUCUAAUAGUUUUGGUCGCCUCUGGGAUUGUACCGUCUUCUCCAUCAACCCUGCCGCCAACUCCACUGAGUA